Molecule: ribosomal RNA, 514 nt
Filed under: Streptomyces sp. IG1
Lineage: Bacteria; Bacillati; Actinomycetota; Actinomycetes; Kitasatosporales; Streptomycetaceae
Description: bacterial SSU rRNA
Rfam family: Bacterial small subunit ribosomal RNA
Source: RNAcentral
ACUCCCUCGGGAGGCAGCAGUGGGGAAUAUUGCACAAUGGGCGAAAGCCUGAUGCAGCGACGCCGCGUGAGGGAUGACGGCCUUCGGGUUGUAAACCUCUUUCAGCAGGGAAGAAGCGAAAGUGACGGUACCUGCAGAAGAAGCGCCGGCUAACUACGUGCCAGCAGCCGCGGUAAUACGUAGGGCGCAAGCGUUGUCCGGAAUUAUUGGGCGUAAAGAGCUCGUAGGCGGCUUGUCACGUCGGUUGUGAAAGCCCGGGGCUUAACCCCGGGUCUGCAGUCGAUACGGGCAGGCUAGAGUGUGGUAGGGGAGAUCGGAAUUCCUGGUGUAGCGGUGAAAUGCGCAGAUAUCAGGAGGAACACCGGUGGCGAAGGCGGAUCUCUGGGCCAUUACUGACGCUGAGGAGCGAAAGCGUGGGGAGCGAACAGGAUUAGAUACCCUGGUAGUCCACGCCGUAAACGUUGGGAACUAGGUGUUGGCGACAUUCCACGUCGUCGGUGCCGCAGCUAACGCA